GCAUCGAUGAAGAACGCAGCCAGUUGCGAUAAGUAGUGUGAAUUGCAGAAUUCAGUGAAUCAUCGAAUCUUUGAACGCAAAUUGCGCUUUCUGGAUAUCCAGGGAGCAUGCCUGUCUGAGCGUCGUUUAAUAAUCUACACACUCUUGGUGUGGGUAGGGAGUUCAUUCAACUCAGCAAUGAGAUGACUGUCUCUUGAUGUUUCUGAACCUGGUAGUAUGCUUCUGUGUACUGCUUGGAAGGCUCAACUUGCUUCUGUCCUUCUAAAGCGUGUACUAAAGUUGUACUAAACAAGUUCUUCGAAGAUUUUCACAAAUUUUCAAAACCUGAUUUUUGACCUCAGAUCAGACAAGACUACCCGCUGAAUUUAAGCAUAUCAAUAAGCGGAGGAA
This 390-nucleotide ribosomal RNA is filed under the name uncultured fungus. Its description in RNAcentral is "eukaryotic LSU rRNA". The stretch from base 1 to 125 matches the Rfam family "5.8S ribosomal RNA", at positions 30 to 154 of the family's 154-position model. Lineage: Eukaryota; Fungi. The record is from RNAcentral.